UUAAGUUCAGCGGGUAUCCCUACCUGAUCCGAGGUCAACCUGAAAAAAUACAAGGUUUAACGGCAAUGAGGUUACCCCAAGCUUAUAAGACGUUCGAUUUAACUCUACUACGCCCGAAGUUGGUGAAACCCCGCCGAGGUCUUCGAGGCACGCCCGCCUUUCGACGGACGAGUGCCCAAUACCAAGCAGUGCUUGAGUGG
This 200-nucleotide unclassified non-coding RNA is filed under the name uncultured Dothideales. Its description in RNAcentral is "sequence contains ITS2". The record is from RNAcentral. Lineage: Eukaryota; Fungi; Ascomycota; Dothideomycetes; Dothideales.